This 206-nucleotide long non-coding RNA is filed under the name Nicotiana benthamiana. Its description in RNAcentral is "long non-coding RNA (NBEN_LNC041775)". Lineage: Eukaryota; Viridiplantae; Streptophyta; Magnoliopsida; Solanales; Solanaceae. The record is from RNAcentral.
GGAGUCUUGGGCUUGACUAGCUUGUAACUGUGCAUUUAAUUUCCUUGAAAGCGCACAUGUAGCCACAAUUUUUUGUGCAAGCAUUUUUACUCGUCGUAUCCUAGGUUGAGGGGUAGUGCUAGGUUGAGGAGUAGUAGAGGAAUCAGAGGGGGUAGGUGGUGGAGGUGUACCAAGGUUAUCUUGAGGGUUAGUAAUUUAUCUUGAUU